Molecule: ribosomal RNA, 253 nt
Filed under: uncultured bacterium
Lineage: Bacteria
Description: partial 16S ribosomal RNA
Rfam family: Bacterial small subunit ribosomal RNA
Source: RNAcentral
UACAGAGGUCCCAAGCGUUGUUCGGAUUCACUGGGCGUAAAGGGUGCGUAGGCGGUCGGGUAAGUCUGAUGUGAAAUCUCACAGCUUAACUGUGAAACUGCAUUGGAUACUAUCCGGCUCGAGGAAUGGAGGGGAGACUGGAAUACUUGGUGUAGCAGUGAAAUGCGUAGAUAUCAAGUGGAACACCAGUGGCGAAGGCGGCUCACUGGUCCGGUACUGACGCUGAGGUGCGAAAGCGUGGGGAGCAAACAGG